GAGCAGUAAGCCUGGGGGAGCAGAGAGAGACAGAUUGAGUAGGCGCUUCUCUGCUUAUCCCUGACUAGAAGGCAAUGAGUUUCCUUCCAAGCAACCUGCUCAUAGCCGUGGAUACUGAUAUGAGUGGACACGCCUCUCUCCUCUCUGCUCAGGAUACGGAAAAAGCUUGAGGGAGGGAGAGGAGGAGGAGGAGGAGGAAGGGCAGCAAAGGAGGGGCAUGGAGAGUGAGGCGCAGGACAUUUGCAAACAGAUUGAGUCAGUCAGCUGAGAAAGAGAGAGAGAGAGGGGGGGAUAGAGAGUGAUAGGGAGUGAAUAACUAACUGUUGAUGUGCUUAAAGCUGUUCUGGGUUGAGGAGCUGAGUGUAUUGUGAAUCAUGGCCUUCAGGAAGAGGAGCUUCACUUUUGGCGCCUAUGGAGGAGUGGACAAAAGUUUCUCCAAGGCUAGGAGUCACUGGAAACAUGAUGGCAGAGUCCCUCGAAUCUCUGAUGUGUUAGAGCAUCCCCUGAGCCCCCUACAACCCCUGCCCGUUCCUUCUGGGCUUCCUAAGACCUCAGAUUUAUUUGCGAUGAUCGAGCGGAUGCAGAACAGCAGAAUGGAUGAGCAGAGAUGCACACUUCCACCCCCCCUCAAAACAGAGGAAGACUACAUUCCAUAUCCAGGUGUUCAUGAGGUGCUGUCUCGGAAAGCCCCCUUUCCCUUAAUUUUGCUGCCUCAGUUUGGAGGUUAUUGGAUUGAAGGCACCAAUCAUGACCUCAGUUCGACCCCUGCUCCUGAGGAGCCACCUCCAUGCCCAGCAUCACAGAUUAAACUGGAGACAAACAGCACAGCAAAGAUCUACAGAAAAGACUUCAUGGGCAAGGAGCACUUUAAUUAUUACUCUAUGGACACCGCACUGGGCCACCUCGUCUUCUCCGUGAAGUAUGACGUGAUCGGGGACCAAGAGCACCUGCGUUUAAUGCUCAGGUCAAAGUACAAAACCUACCAUGAUGUGAUACCUAUUUCCUGUCUCACUGAGUUUCCUAACGUGGUGCAGAUGGCAAAGCUGGUGUGUGAAGAAGUGAAUGUGGACAGAUUUUACCCUGUACUCUACCCAAAGGCCUCCAGACUCAUUGUAACAUUUGAUGAACAUGUCAUAAGCAACAAGUUCAAGUUUGGGGUCAUCUAUCAGAAGUUUGGACAGACAUCAGAAGAGGAGCUUUUUGGAAACAGUGUGGAGAGUCCCGCCUUCGUUGAGUUCCUGGAGUUUUUAGGGCAGAAGAUUGAGCUGCAUGAUUUUAAAGGGUUUCGAGGAGGCCUCGAUGUCACACACGGUCAAACUGGAAGUGAGUCGGUGUACCACAACUUCCACAACAAAGAAAUCAUGUUCCACGUUUCCACUAAACUUCCCUACACUGAAGGAGACUCACAGCAGGUAAGGACUGUCCUUUCAUAUUGUGCCAUCUGUCAAAUUCUGCUUGAGGCUGUCAUACCUGUGCUAAAAGGCAUGUCAUUGCAGGUGUCAGUGACAGCGAGAGAUGACGUGCCUUUCUUCGGGCCUGCUCUCCCAGACCCAGCUGUAUUCAAAAAGAGCCCAGAAUUUCAUGAGUUCCUCCUGACAAAACUCAUCAAUGCUGAGUAUUCCUGCUAUAAGGCUGAGAAGUUUGCCAAGUUGGAGGAGAGAACACGCUCUGCACUGCUGGAAACUCUGUACGAGGAGCUGCAUGUGAACAGCCAGUGCAUGAUGGGAUUGGGAGGAGAUGAUGAUAAGCUGGAGAACGGAGGUGGAGGAGGAGGAGGCUUUUUUGAGUCUUUUAAGAGAGUAAUUCGCAGUAGGAGUCAGUCUAUGGACGCUAUGGGCCUGAGCAAUAAGAAGCCUCACACUGUCUCGACCAGCCACAGUGGCAGCUUUACCCACAAUCCCCCAGACACACCCAAAACGCCGGGAAUUGUGAGUAUUUCUUCUACUUUCCACACCCACUUCCUCCCAUUCUUACUAAUUUUUUCCUGUAUCUGUUUUUUUUAUGGAGGGCUUCAGCUUCACUCUUUGAUCAUACCCGGUAAGAGCCCAACCCGGAAGAAAUCAGGCCCGUUCAGCUCCAGACGAAGCAGCGCCAUCGGUAUUGAGAACAUCCAGGAGGUCCAGGAGAGAAGUAGGGAGGUGUCCCCCAGCACACAGAAAACACCCGACAGUGGCCACGCCUCACAGGACCCCAGAUCUGAUAACUCCUCCAAUCACAGCUCACCUGAGAUGCCCACCACCAGGACUAGAGCACCCUCCAUCCCAGAGACUCAUGACCUGUCUCGUUCCUCGUCCAACGCCAGCAGCUUUACCAGUGUAGUAGAGGAAAACGAGCACGAACAAGAAGCUACAGAGGACUACGACACAGGACUGGUACCUGCCUUGUUCUUCAAUACACACAUUACAAUCCCUGUCUUCACACUGGCAGGCGACAAGUCGCUUACAUUGCCCACAUCUCCCAAUGUUUGUCUCUUGUGGGUGUGUUCACAACCACUCACAUUGCCAUGUGUGGGGGCGUGUAUUGGCGUGGCCAGUUAG
This 2537-nucleotide long non-coding RNA is filed under the name Astyanax mexicanus (Mexican tetra). Its description in RNAcentral is "lncRNA (ENSAMXG00005006390.1)". Lineage: Eukaryota; Metazoa; Chordata; Actinopteri; Characiformes; Acestrorhamphidae. The record is from RNAcentral.